CCUUUGAGCGAUUGACUCAUGUUGCCUCGGCGGGUUCUCCCGCCCCAGGAUACAGUCAUCAACUCCUGUUUUACAUCGGUGUUGUCUGAGCUGCGAAGUCUAACUGUAUAUCANAACUUUCAUACAACGGAUCUCUUGGUUCUGGCAUCUGUAUGAACGAACGCAGCGAAAUGCGAUAANUAUUGUGAAUUGCACAAUUCGAGUGAAUCAUCGAAUCUUUGAACGCACAUUGCGCCCCUUGGUAUCCCGAGGGGCAUGCCUGUUCGAGCGUCAUUUCACCACUCAAGCCCGGCUUGGUGUUGGGCGACGUCUCCUUUAGGGACGCGCCUCGAAACGCUCGGCGGCGUGGCACCGGCUUUAAGCGUAGCANAAUCUUUCGCUUUGAAAGUCGGGGCCUCGUCUGCCGGAAGACCUACUCGUAAGGUUGACCUCGGAUCAGGUAGGGAUACCCGCUGAACUU
Molecule: ribosomal RNA, 460 nt
Filed under: uncultured Cenococcum
Lineage: Eukaryota; Fungi; Ascomycota; Dothideomycetes; Gloniales; Gloniaceae
Description: eukaryotic LSU rRNA
Rfam family: 5.8S ribosomal RNA (bases 115-273)
Source: RNAcentral